This 497-nucleotide ribosomal RNA is filed under the name uncultured bacterium. RNAcentral describes it as "partial 16S ribosomal RNA". It matches the Rfam family "Bacterial small subunit ribosomal RNA", at positions 28 to 507 of the family's 1533-position model. The record is from RNAcentral.
GAUGAACGCUGGCGGCGUGCCUAAUACAUGCAAGUCGAACGAACAGACGAGGAGCUUGUUCCUCUGACGUUUGCGGCGGGCGGGUGAGUAACACGUGGAUCCUCUACCUAUAAGACUGAGAUCACUUCGGAAAACCGGAGCUAAUACCGGAUAAUAUCUUGAACCGCAUGGUUCAAUAGUGAAAGACGGCUUUGCUGUCACUUAUCGCUGGAUCCGCGCCGCAUUAGCUCGUUGGUAAGGUAACGGCUUACCAAGGCAACGAUGCGUAUCCGACCUGAAAGGGUGAUCGGCAACACUAGAAAUGGAACACGGACAAGAAUACUACGGGAGGCAGCAGUAGGGAAUCUUCCGCAAUGGGCGAAAGCCUGACGGAGCAACGCCGCGUGAGUGAUGAAGGUCUUCGGAUCGUGAAACCCUGUUAUUAGGGAAGAACAAAUGUGUAAGUAACUAUGCAGGUCUUGACGGUACCUAAUCAGAAAGCAACGGCUAACUACGUG